CCUACGGGAGGCAGCAGUAGGGAAUUUUCGGCAAUGGGGGGAACCCUGACCGAGCAACGCCGCGUGAACGAAGAAGUUAUUCGUAAUGUAAAGUUCUUUUAACAGGGAAGAAAGAGAAAUUUGACGGUACCUUAAGAAUAAGCUCCGGCUAACUACGUGCCAGCAGCCGCGGUAAUACGUAGGGAGCGAGCGUUAGCCGGAAUUAUUGGGCGUAAAGGGUGCGUAGAUGGCAUAGUAAGUCUUUAGUAAAAAUGCGGGGCUCAACCCAGUAGGGCAAAAGAUAGUGCAAAGCUAGAGUAUGACAGAGGCAAGUGGAACUACAUGUGAAGCGGUAAAAUGCGUAAAUAUAUGUAAGAACACCAGUGGCGAAGGCAGCUUGCUGGGUCGAUACUGACAUUGAGGCACGAAAGCGUGGGGAGCAAACAGGAUUAGAUACCCGAGUAGUC
This 446-nucleotide ribosomal RNA is filed under the name uncultured bacterium. Its description in RNAcentral is "partial 16S ribosomal RNA". It matches the Rfam family "Bacterial small subunit ribosomal RNA", at positions 338 to 795 of the family's 1533-position model. The record is from RNAcentral.